GCACUGCUGACGAGUCCCAAACAGGGCGAAAAAGCUGUCCAGUGC
Molecule: non-coding RNA, 45 nt
Organism: Echinostoma caproni
Lineage: Eukaryota; Metazoa; Platyhelminthes; Trematoda; Plagiorchiida; Echinostomatidae
Source: Rfam